Non-coding RNA from Zootermopsis nevadensis, 835 nucleotides. Lineage: Eukaryota; Metazoa; Arthropoda; Insecta; Blattodea; Termopsidae. The record is from RefSeq and is a predicted model, not a curated record.
GGUUAGGUUCGACCGGGAUAAGAUAGGUUAGGUAAGGUUCAAGAUGUUUUCGACAAAUCAAUUUCAAGAGUUUAUAGCCCACCCAGAAACAAAAGAAAUGUCAAAAAAAUUAUGUGGAAAUUGUAUACUCCGACACGGAUUAUACCUCGCCAGUCUUGUUUAUAAUGUCUGCUUGAGUGGUUCAACGUUAGACGAGAGUUUGGUGAAGCGAAAGGCUUUGCACUGCCAAACAAAGUUACUUUUAACUACAAGAGAAGGGCAGAUACAUGUGUGCAGAGGGUGGAAGAUGCAAGAUCGUAGCAACCUGUGUCCUCUGUCCUCAGCCUGAGGACGCGACGUGUCGUGGUGACAGGACAUGAAAAUGUACGCAUGUAACUUGUGUAGAGAUCGUACUUUUAAGGAAACAACAUGUUUGCCGCUCAAAACAAUUUUCUGCAACCUGACGCAAGCAGCAGCCCUGGACCGACCACACUCUCAGGUCUCUCUGUCCGUCAGCGUCAAUCCAUCAACAUGCCGCCGACCUGGCUACAGUCCUUGGACGCCGUGGCUGUUUCUCCCUGCAGAUGAAGACGUCGCCAGAACUGGACUGUUGCAAUUGUAGCGAAACGUUCCGACCUGCUUUACUUUGUGUCUCGAUGUAAAAGCGAAUAAUUACAAGUACAAAAAGUUGCGUCGUUAUGCUGAGUCAUUGUCAGAUUUACGCAGAAGUUACUGUUUGAAUUGGGAUAAUAUUAAAGUGGAUGUCAACAAUUAUGUGAAGAUGUGGACUCAAUUAUUUUGGUAUAGGAUACGGCUAACUUGUGAAUUUAGUAAUAAAAUUUCGGGUUCGAUAAAA